This 337-nucleotide unclassified non-coding RNA is filed under the name soil metagenome. RNAcentral describes it as "partial contains 5.8S ribosomal RNA, internal transcribed spacer 2, and large subunit ribosomal RNA". The stretch from base 1 to 120 matches the Rfam family "5.8S ribosomal RNA", at positions 35 to 154 of the family's 154-position model. The record is from RNAcentral.
GAUGAAGAACGCAGCGAAAUGCGAUAAGUAAUGUGAAUUGCAGAAUUCAGUGAAUCAUCGAAUCUUUGAACGCACAUUGCGCCCCUUGGUAUUCCAUGGGGCAUGCCUGUUCGAGCGUCAUUUGUACCUUCAAGCUCUGCUUGGUGUUGGGUGUUUGUCUCGCCUCUGCGUGUAGACUCGCCUCAAAACAAUUGGCAGCCGGCGUAUUGAUUUCGGAGCGCAGUACAUCUCGCGCUUUGCACUCAUAACGACGACGUCCAAAAGUACAUUUCUACACUCUUGACCUCGGAUCAGGUAGGGAUACCCGCUGAACUUAAGCAUAUCAAUAAGCGGAGGA